Molecule: ribosomal RNA, 419 nt
Filed under: uncultured prokaryote
Description: bacterial SSU rRNA
Rfam family: Bacterial small subunit ribosomal RNA
Source: RNAcentral
UAAGGAAUAUUGCGCAAUGGGCGAAAGCCUGACGCAGCGACGCCGCGUGGGGGAUGAAGGUCUUCGGAUUGUAAACCCCUUUCGGGCGGGAAGAUGGGAUAGGGUAACCUAUCCGGACGGUACCCCCAGAAGCCGCCACGGCUAACUUCGUGCCAGCAGCCGCGGUAAUACGACGGUGGCAAGCGUUGUUCGGAUUUACUGGGCGUACAGGGAGCGUAGGCGGUUGGAUAAGCCCUCCGUCAAAUCUCCAGGCUUAACCUGGAAAGUGCAGAGGGGACUGUUCAGCUAUAGGAGGGGAGAGGAGCGCGGUAUUCCCGGUGUAGCGGUGAAAUGCGUAGAGAUAGGGAGGAAGGCCGGAGGCGAAGGCGGCGCUCUGGAACAUUUCUGACGCUGAGGCUCGAAAGCGUGGGGGGCAAACA